This 1024-nucleotide long non-coding RNA is filed under the name Zonotrichia albicollis (white-throated sparrow). Its description in RNAcentral is "lncRNA (ENSZALG00000004420.1)". Lineage: Eukaryota; Metazoa; Chordata; Aves; Passeriformes; Passerellidae. The record is from RNAcentral.
GAACAUUUCCUCAGUUGACUGUUAGUGUUUAUUUCUUCCCCUUCUCCUCGCGGGAGCAGACACCUUCCAGCCCCUCAACUUUCGCACACUGCUCUCCCGUUAUUUGCCUCCUUCCCUCCCUGUCGCCCCUUUCCCUGCUCUCCCUCUCCCUCCUCCUCCACCUCCUUUUCCAGUUCAGCGGUGCAAAUUUCUGUUUGUGCCAGUGGGGCGGCCUGGCGAGACCGCAAUUGCUCUACCCCACAGAUUGACGAGCCCUCAGAUGCCGAUUUACUGUACAUGGCAGCCACGCUGGAGCCGCGGCACAUCUGGAGUGGAGUAAGCUUACUCAGAAACAGGGGCCAGCUCCAGCCGGAGCCAGCGGAGCCGAGCGCAGCGCUGAAAGGCAGCCCUCCUGCCUCCCCUUCCCUCCUCCCCGGAUCCCAGUAGGAAAGGGCCAAAAUUCCCCGUGAAACAUCUUACCCAGGUCUCAGCCUUCUCACCAGGGGAAGCAGUGAGCAUUACCUCCUUAUGGCUGCUUAGAAACCGCUCAAGGUGAAGCUCCGUAAGGAGAGGAUUCUGCGUUGGAGAGGUGUUGGUCAGCAUGGACAGACUGAAUUGCACAUCUCCAAGAUCCAGAAUGACCUUUCUGAAGUCAGGAGCAGCAUCAUGGGUCCUGGGAGAAAUGCAGGGAUGGCACACCAUUUUGCAUAAACUAGGCGACUACUGAGAUGGAUAAAAUGGUUUCUUUGCUGUGAAAUGAUUUAUUUGGAAAAAACUCCACAUGUCUACACGGAAAGGCUGAUGGAACCAGUCUCAAAAGCAAAGCUGUUUGGCAAACUUCAAGAGAAAUCUUGGCAGUUGACUGAAAUCUAAAGUUUUUAAGGGACAGUUGGAUUUUAGCUGAGUUCUUCUAGAAGCCUGCAGGGCUCUGGCUGGCAGACCAUUGCUCAACCUUUUGACUGCCAGGGUGGAGGACUGAUGGCCUAUCAUUGCAGGAUGGCCCACCAAGUAGUCUACCUUUGAAAUAAAGACCUCGGGCCUUCCA